GCCUGCGGCCACACCACUUUGAAUAAGCCUGAUCUCGCCUGAUCUCAGAAGUGAAACAAUGGUGGGCUUGGUUANUACUUGAAUGGGAGACCGCCUGGGAAUAUCAAGUGCUGAAGGCAUU
RNAcentral lists this ribosomal RNA (121 nucleotides) under Acipenser oxyrinchus (Atlantic sturgeon). Lineage: Eukaryota; Metazoa; Chordata; Actinopteri; Acipenseriformes; Acipenseridae. The record is from RNAcentral.